UGGGGAACGAGAGUACCAGUGAGUAUAGCUUUACGAGGUGACCUGUCUUUCAGUGAACGUAAAGUACUGAUGUAACCCAACUAUUGUUGUGUUGCAGAAUGAUCCUGAGUUCUCUGUCUUCAAGAUCAGAUAUGCUGAAUACCACAUAACCUAUUCUAUGGAUAGCCAACUAGGCCAUCUUCUGAUACAUAUGCAGCU
Long non-coding RNA from Mus musculus (house mouse), 198 nucleotides. RefSeq annotates it as predicted gene, 42263. The transcript has 4 exons. The record is from RefSeq and is a predicted model, not a curated record. Lineage: Eukaryota; Metazoa; Chordata; Mammalia; Rodentia; Muridae.